This 253-nucleotide ribosomal RNA is filed under the name uncultured bacterium. RNAcentral describes it as "partial 16S ribosomal RNA". It matches the Rfam family "Bacterial small subunit ribosomal RNA", at positions 524 to 776 of the family's 1533-position model. The record is from RNAcentral.
UACAGAGGGUGCAAGCGUUGUCCGGAAUUACUGGGCGUAAAGGGCGCGUAGGCGGCCCGAUAAGUAGGAGGUGAAAUCUCACGGCUCAACCGUGAAACUGCCUUCUAGACUGUCAGGCUUGAGCACGGUAGAGGCAGAUGGAAUUCCCGGUGUAGCGGUGGAAUGCGUAGAGAUCGGGAAGAACACCAGUGGCGAAGGCGGUCUGCUGGGCCGUUGCUGACGCUGAGGCGCGACAGCGUGGGGAGCAAACAGG